This 253-nucleotide ribosomal RNA is filed under the name uncultured bacterium. RNAcentral's name for it is "partial 16S ribosomal RNA". It matches the Rfam family "Bacterial small subunit ribosomal RNA", at positions 524 to 776 of the family's 1533-position model. The record is from RNAcentral.
UACGUAGGGCGCGAGCGUUGUCCGGAUUUACUGGGCGUAAAGGGCGCGUAGGCGGCAAUUCAAGUCAUCUGUGAAAUCUCCGGGCUUAACUCGGAACGGUCAGAUGAUACUGCUUUGCUAGAGUGCGGAAGGGGCAAUCGGAAUUCUUGGUGUAGCGGUGAAAUGCGUAGAUAUCAAGAGGAACACCUGAGGUGAAGACGGGUUGCUGGGCCGACACUGACGCUGAAGCGCGAAAGCCAGGGGAGCAAACGGG